This 288-nucleotide signal recognition particle RNA is filed under the name Phascolarctos cinereus (koala). RNAcentral's name for it is "Metazoan signal recognition particle RNA (ENSPCIG00000024908.2)". It matches the Rfam family "Metazoan signal recognition particle RNA". Rfam says of the family: The signal recognition particle (SRP) is a universally conserved ribonucleoprotein. It is involved in the co-translational targeting of proteins to membranes. Lineage: Eukaryota; Metazoa; Chordata; Mammalia; Diprotodontia; Phascolarctidae. The record is from Rfam by way of RNAcentral.
CCUAUGUAUGCUGGUGCAUGCUUGUAGUCCAUGCUACUGGGGAAGCUGAAACUGGGGGAUCACUUGAGUUUGAGAGUUUUGAGCCACAGUAGAAUGUCCCACUAUGUCUUGCACCAAUAUGGUAAACUCCUGGGAGUGGAGGGUCACCAGAUUGCCUAAGGAGGGGGGAAUUAGUCCAGGUUGGAAAAAAAGUGCAGGUUAAAGCAUCUGUGCCCAUCAGCAUUGGGAUAGUUACCUGUGAGUGGCUACUGCAUUUCUGGUCUGGGGGAGAUAGGGAGAGCCGUUCUU